This 2699-nucleotide unclassified non-coding RNA is filed under the name Hevea brasiliensis (rubber tree). Lineage: Eukaryota; Viridiplantae; Streptophyta; Magnoliopsida; Malpighiales; Euphorbiaceae. The record is from RNAcentral.
AGAGAGAGAGAGAGAGAGAAGGAAGGGAAGGAUUACGAGCGAACUUCGUGUUGAUAUAUAGAGAAAACAGAGCAAGUAGAGUACGCCUCUCUGUGCGUUUCAAAAAACAAAGAGGAGGCGUUUGACCUUGUUAAAUUACGGAAAAAUCCUUAAACAUUUUCACAAUGUAUUUAACAAAUGAUAUCAUGUUUUUGGUAAAUAAGAAGGUAGAGCAGGGUUAUAAUCGACACAACGGAGGUUUGAUAUAGACUGCCACCGACCUUAGAAGAAAGCCACAAAGUUGCUGAUUGGAUACCUCCACUUUCUUUACAGAAUUGAGUAUCUGCUUUUCGCUCUCUUUAGACUGGGCGAUACCUAACUUUGUACAGUGGAACACAGCAAAGCCCCACGUUGCAACCACAAUUCAAUUAUUUUACUUCCCUUUAUUCGUAUGGCCUUUGCUUCUUUGCUAAUUAAAUCACUUCACUUUACUAAUCCUUGAUUUUUCAUAUGGGGUUUGCUUCCUUGCUGAUUAAGGUCUCAAUGAAGUGAGGAGCCUUAUGCUCUGCUCGCUGACAAAUACAAUGUUGCAUUUGCAAAAAGAAAAGAAUUUGUACGCAUCUGGAAUCAGCAAGCAAUAAUGACACACAAGCACAACCCCACAUCCCCUUUUGAUAUAAUUUUAUAAUAAGAAUGCCUCGAUUUGUAGCUCUAAGUUUAUGAAAAUUCCAACCAACAUAACUUUUCUCAUAUUUUGGUUAACCAGAAAAUUUUAGGUGCAUUUCAUCUAUCAGUCUCAUUACAAUUCUACUCGCUUAAUUUACAGAUGACAUCAUGAUAGACCAGGUUUGUUUACUUGAGAUUUUAUUCCGGUUGAUCCGUUUUUUUACUUGAGAUUUUAUUCUGGUUGAUCCGUUUUUCAAAUUCAUACAAGAUUAUGAGGAAGCUGCUAUAUGACUAAUACAUUUAUUUUUACAUAUCCAAGCAUUAUAAUUUAUAAACAACUUACCAGACUUCCAACUGCAAUAUUACCCGAGACAAUUCUAUUUUGGAAACAAUAUAAAGGCAGGAAAAACAACACUGUUAAGAAGAUCCACCAACGAAUGUGUCAAAAGAGGAUAGCACAAACAAAAUUCCACUGAUGAAAAUUUCUUGGCAGAACUGACAAACAGGCUAUCCACAAUCUUGCCCAUGUUGGAAAUGGUUUCUAAAGUUGCAGGGUAGAUUGCAUCUGUCUUCUGAUCUUCAAAUAUGAUGAGGCACCCAGCACCCUGAUCCAAUGUCCCAGCAAACUUCUUGUCCAGAAUCAUCUGUGACAGCUUCUUUUCCGGAUGAUCAAUUGAUAAUUCAAUCAGUUCAGCUAUAUGGGCAAUCUCAACCCUUGAGAAAGGCUCAAUCAAUCUGCACAGAUUUUGUUGAGAGAUGCCUGAGGACAAUUGGGUCUUCCUCCAGCUGGGCCUUAUAAUUGCGCAGGGGCAAUCUCAAACGACUUCAAAGAUCGCUUGGAGUGAGCAUCAGCCACGGAUUUAAUAGCAUCCAAAUCUGGCCCCAUGUGCUGGAGACCUGCCUUUGAAGAAAUUAUCCCAGUCACAUCAUCAGCUUGAUUCACCAUGAUUUUGCAUAGUAGCAUGUAUUUAAGACUGAGAACUGCCCUUGGGCCUUCAAGAGCAUUGAAGGACUUAAAUGCUUCAAAGAAAUAGCUGUAAGCAGUUUUAUAAUCCUUCUCUUCGGCGUGAAGAAUCCCACUCUGCAAAUCAAUUGUGCCUUGUUGAGCUGGGGGUACAUAUAUAGCAUUUGCAGCUGUCCUGGCAGCUGUAAGAGCAGCUUUUGCCUUGGGAAGGUUCCUCAAGGAAAAAUGUAGCUUACUCUCUAGUAAGUCGUUUGUCAUCUAACCUCCUCACCUCUUUCACCAAGUUGGUAAGAAGAGUCCAUGCUUCUCAAUAUUCCUUAUUUUCCAUCAAAAGAGCUGUAAGCCUUGCCUCAACUCGCUGCCUAAGGAAUGUACGCUUUUCUGCUCGGGUCCAUUCUACCAUUUCCUUGAAAGCAAUUUGGGGAUCAGAUGUACCAGGUAUUCGAGCUGCAGAAUCAAUUAUUCCCCUGACAAUUUUGGCAGUUUUAGCCUUGGGAAUUAGGGCAAAGAAUGGUCUCAUAUGAGUAAGAUGCCCAUAAAGAUCUUCAGCCCUGUUCCCUUGUCUAAGAAGGUCAGAAAGGUUUGUAAUAGACUGUUCUUUUAUCCUCAAUGCUUCUGGAGAAGAAGAAGGGUUUUCAAGUAUCUGGUAAAGAAUGGAAAUGCGCUCAGAUGGAUCUUUAGCUUCUAAAGCCAGAGAAAUGGAGUCUGUUGUUGCAGGAAGAUAUGAAGAAGACAUGGCCACUGCUGGAAGAAUUCAAGUCCAGCUCUAGAGACCAGAAUCUGCCUCCAAGAAUCCAAACUUCGAAUCCUACAGUUUGAGGCUUGGCCUCCAUCACUAUAGUCUAUGAGUAGUGGCCUCAUUACAUAUACCAAGAAGUAACUCGUUUAAAUAUAUAAGUAAUUUGUUCACUUCCAAGAAAUAAACCCAUUAGACAAAAGCGAAAUCUUGAUAAAAAAAUUCAAUUCUUAAUAUUCAAUGAAAGAAAGAGCACAGUAUUAACAACAAUGAUGAAGAUAUGAGAAGACUGUCACGGUGACUACUGCUGAAGAACCAAUUUCAAGAUAGAAGCAUAAACUCCAUAAUGCAAUU